UACAGAGGUCCCAAGCGUUGUUCGGAUUCAUUGGGCGUAAAGGGUGCGUAGGCGGCGCGGUAAGUCGGGUGUGAAAUCUCGGGGCUUAACUCCGAAACUGCAUUCGAUACUGCCGUGCUUGAGGACUGGAGAGGAGACUGGAAUUUAUGGUGUAGCGGUGAAAUGCGUAGAUAUCGUAAGGAAGACCAGUGGCGAAGGCGGGUCUCUGGACAGUUCCUGACACUGAGGCACGAAGGCCAGGGGAGCAAACGGG
This 253-nucleotide ribosomal RNA is filed under the name uncultured bacterium. RNAcentral describes it as "partial 16S ribosomal RNA". It matches the Rfam family "Bacterial small subunit ribosomal RNA", at positions 524 to 776 of the family's 1533-position model. The record is from RNAcentral.